AACGAACGCUGGCGGCAUGCCUAACACAUGCAAGUCGAACGAGACCUUCGGGUCUAGUGGCGCACGGGUGCGUAACGCGUGGGAAUCUGCCCUUCGGUUGGGAAUAACUGAGAGAAAUUUCAGCUAAUACCUUAUAAUGUCUUCGGACCAAAGAUUUAUCGCCGAGGGAUGAGCCCGCGUAGGAUUAGGUAGUUGGUGGGGUAAUGGCCUACCAAGCCGACGAUCCUUAGCUGGUCUGAGAGGAUGAUCAGCCACACUGGGACUGAGACACGGCCCAGACUCCUACGGGAGGCAGCAGUGGGGAAUAUUGGACAAUGGGCGAAAGACUGAUCCAGCAAUGCCGCGUGAGUGAUGAAGGCCUUAGGGUUGUAAAGCUCUUUUACCCGGGAUGAUAAUGACAGUACCGGGAGAAUAAGCUCCGGCUAACUCCGUG
RNAcentral lists this ribosomal RNA (433 nucleotides) under uncultured bacterium. RNAcentral describes it as "partial 16S ribosomal RNA". It matches the Rfam family "Bacterial small subunit ribosomal RNA", at positions 29 to 507 of the family's 1533-position model. The record is from RNAcentral.